GGAUUGCCUCAGUAACGGCGAGUGAAGCGCAACAGCUCAAAUUUGAAAUCUGGCCUCACGGUCCGAGUUGUAAUUUGUAGAGGAUGCUUUUGGCAAGGUACUUUCCGAGUUCCCUGGAACGGGACGCCAUAGAGGGUGAGAGCCCCGUACGGUUAGACCACCGAGCCUCUGUAAAGCUCCUUCGACGAGUCGAGUAGUUUGGGAAUGCUGCUCUAAAUGGGAGGUGUACGUCUUCUAAAGCUAAAUACCGGCCAGAGACCGAUAGCGCACAAGUAGAGUGAUCGAAAGAUGAAAAGCACUUUGAAAAGAGGGUUAAAAAGUACGUGAAAUUGUUGAAAGGGAAGCAUUCAUGACCAGACUUGGGCUUGGUUGAACAUCCGGCGUUCUCGGCUGCACUCUGCCAGUCCAGGCCAGCAUCAGUUUGCCCCGGGGGACAAAGGCGGUGGGAA
RNAcentral lists this ribosomal RNA (449 nucleotides) under Massarina eburnea. Its description in RNAcentral is "LSU rRNA". It matches the Rfam family "Eukaryotic large subunit ribosomal RNA", at positions 72 to 534 of the family's 3401-position model. The record is from RNAcentral. Lineage: Eukaryota; Fungi; Ascomycota; Dothideomycetes; Pleosporales; Massarinaceae.